Paramuricea clavata is the source of this 1101-nucleotide non-coding RNA. Lineage: Eukaryota; Metazoa; Cnidaria; Anthozoa; Malacalcyonacea; Plexauridae. The record is from the annotation of a GenBank genome assembly.
UAUUGAAGGAACUAGAUACUGUUCCGAAAUAUCACUUACUCGAACCGUCCUGACCGCGUAGCUCAGUUGGAAGAGCAUUGGGCUAGUAUUCCAAAGGUCGUAGGUUCGAAUCCCACCGUGGCCGGGCAUAUUUUUCAAGCCUGCCCGGUGUGGAUAUGCACUCAGAGUAACAUCACAAACAUAUUAUUCACCUGAGUACACAACACCAGCACAGAAAAAAUUCAUAUUACAAGAACACAUUGGUAUUGAAGGAACUAGAUACUGUUCCGAAAUAUCACUUACUCGAACCGUCCUGACCGCGUAGCUCAGUUGGAAGAGCAUUAGGCUAGUAUUCCAAAGGUCGUAGGUUCGAAUCCCACCGUGGCCGGGCAUAUUUUUCAAGCGCGCCCGGUGUGGAUAUGCACUCAGAGUAACAUCACAAACAUAUUAUUCACCUGAGUACACAACACCAACACAGAAAAAAAUUCAUAUUACAAGAACACAUUGGUAUUGAAGGAACUAGAUACUGUUUCGAAAUAUCACUUACUCGAACCGUCCUGACCGCGUAGCUCAGUUGAAAGAGCAUUGAGCUAGUAUUCCAAAGGUCGUAGGUUCGAAUCCCACCGUGGCCGGGCAUAUUUUUCAAGCUCGCCCGGUGUGGAUAUGCACUCAGAGUAACAUCCCAAAACAUAUUAUUCACCUGAGUAAACAAAACACCAGCACAGAAAAAAAAUUCAUAUUACAAGAACACAUUGGUAUUGAAGGAACUAGAUACUGUUCCGAAAUAUCACUUACUCGAACCGUCCUGACCGUGUAGCUCAGUUGGAAGAGCAUUGGGCUAGUAUUCCAAAGGUCGUAGGUUCGAAUCCCACCGUGGCCGGGCAUAUUUUUCAAGUUCGCCCGGUGUGGACAUCCACUCAGAGUAACAUCACAAACAUAUUAUUCACCUGAGUACACAACACCAGCACAAAAAAUUCAUAUUACAAGAACUCAUUGGUAUUGAAGGAACUAGAUACUGUUCCGAAAUAUCACUUACUCGAACCGUCCUGACCGCGUAGCUCAGUUGGAAGAGCAUUGGGCUAGUAUUCCCAAGGUCGUAGGUUCGAAUCCCACCGUGGCCGG